GUGAUUGGUGCUUGCAUCAUGAUUUACAUUUGAGUGAGUGGCGAACUGGUGAGUAACACGUGGGAAACCUGCCCAGAAGCGGGGGAUAACACCUGGAAACAGAUGCUAAUACCGCAUAACAACUUGGACCGCAUGGUCCGAGUUUGAAAGAUGGCUUCGGCUAUCACUUUUGGAUGGUCCCGCGGCGUAUUAGCUAGAUGGUGGGGUAACGGCUCACCAUGGCAAUGAUACGUAGCCGACCUGAGAGGGUAAUCGGCCACAUUGGGACUGAGACACGGCCCAAACUCCUACGGGAGGCAGCAGUAGGGAAUCUUCCACAAUGGACGAAAGUCUGAUGGAGCAACGCCGCGUGAGUGAAGAAGGGUUUCGGCUCGUAAAACUCUGUUGUUAAAGAAGAACAUAUCUGAGAGUAACUGUUCAGGUAUUGACGGUAUUUAACCAGAAAGCCACGGCUAACUACGUGCCAGCAGCCGCGGUAAUACGUAGGUGGCAAGCGUUGUCCGGAUUUAUUGGGCGUAAAGCGAGCGCAGGCGGUUUUUUAAGUCUGAUGUGAAAGCCUUCGGCUCAACCGAAGAAGUGCAUCGGAAACUGGGAAACUUGAGUGCAGAAGAGGACAGUGGAAU
This 623-nucleotide ribosomal RNA is filed under the name Lactiplantibacillus plantarum. RNAcentral describes it as "bacterial SSU rRNA". It matches the Rfam family "Bacterial small subunit ribosomal RNA", at positions 44 to 667 of the family's 1533-position model. The record is from RNAcentral. Lineage: Bacteria; Bacillati; Bacillota; Bacilli; Lactobacillales; Lactobacillaceae.